This 166-nucleotide ribosomal RNA is filed under the name Vigna unguiculata (cowpea). RNAcentral's name for it is "5.8S ribosomal RNA". It matches the Rfam family "5.8S ribosomal RNA". From Rfam's summary of the family: 5.8S ribosomal RNA (5.8S rRNA) is a component of the large subunit of the eukaryotic ribosome. Lineage: Eukaryota; Viridiplantae; Streptophyta; Magnoliopsida; Fabales; Fabaceae. The record is from RNAcentral.
CAUGAAAUGACUCUCGGCAACGGAUAUCUCGGCUCUUGCAUCGAUGAAGAACGUAGCGAAAUGCGAUACUUGGUGUGAAUUGCAGAAUCCCGUGAACCAUCGAGUCUUUGAACGCAAGUUGCGCCUGAAGCCAUUAGGUUGAGGGCACGCCUGCCUGGGUGUCACA